UCCAGACUCCUACGGGAGGCAGCAGUGGGGAAUAUUGCACAAUGGGGGAAACCCUGAUGCAGCGACGCCGCGUGAGUGAAGAAGUAUUUCGGUAUGUAAAGCUCUAUCAGCAGGAACGAGACAAGACGGUACCUGACUAAGAAGCCCCGGCUAACUACGUGCCAGCAGCCGCGGUAAUACGGAGGAUGCGAGCGUUAUCCGGAUUUAUUGGGUUUAAAGGGUGCGCAGGCGGCGUGUCAAGUCAGCGGUAAAAUGUCGGGGCUCAACCCCGGCCGGCCGUUGAAACUGGCGUGCUCGAGUUGGAGAGAAGUAUGCGGAAUUCGUGGUGUAGCGGUGAAAUGCAUAGAUAUCACGCAGAACUCCGAUUGCGAAGGUAGCGUACCGGCGCCCAACUGACGCUCAUGCACGAAAGCGUGGGUAUCGAACAGGAUUAGAUACCCCAGUAG
This 446-nucleotide ribosomal RNA is filed under the name uncultured bacterium. RNAcentral describes it as "bacterial SSU rRNA". It matches the Rfam family "Bacterial small subunit ribosomal RNA", at positions 330 to 793 of the family's 1533-position model. The record is from RNAcentral.